RNAcentral lists this ribosomal RNA (174 nucleotides) under uncultured bacterium. RNAcentral describes it as "partial 16S ribosomal RNA". It matches the Rfam family "Bacterial small subunit ribosomal RNA", at positions 338 to 528 of the family's 1533-position model. The record is from RNAcentral.
CUGUACGGGAGGCAGCAGUGAGGAAUCUUCCACAAUGGGCGAAAGCCUGAUGGAGCGACACCGCGUGAAGGAAGAAGGCCUAACGGUUGUAAACUUCUUUUCUGAAGGAGCAUAAUGAGAGUACUUUAGGAAUAAGGGACGGCUAAAUACGUGCCAGCAGCCGCGGUAAUCAGU